This 73-nucleotide transfer RNA is filed under the name Schistocerca americana (American grasshopper). RNAcentral's name for it is "tRNA-Tyr". It matches the Rfam family "tRNA". Rfam says of the family: Transfer RNA (tRNA) molecules are approximately 80 nucleotides in length. The record is from RNAcentral. Lineage: Eukaryota; Metazoa; Arthropoda; Insecta; Orthoptera; Acrididae.
CCUCUGGUAGCUCAGUUGGUAGAGCUUUGGACUGUAGAUCCAUAGGUCGCUGGUUCAAAUCCGGCCCAGAGGA